RNAcentral lists this ribosomal RNA (489 nucleotides) under uncultured bacterium. RNAcentral's name for it is "partial 16S ribosomal RNA". It matches the Rfam family "Bacterial small subunit ribosomal RNA", at positions 30 to 507 of the family's 1533-position model. The record is from RNAcentral.
UUGCACGCUGGCGGCAGGCCUAACCCAUGCAAGUCGCACGGUAACAGGAAGAAGCUUGCUUCUUUGCUGACGAGUGGCGGACGGGUGAGUAAUGUCUGGGAAACUGCCUGAUGGAGGGGGAUAACUACUGGAAACGGUAGCUAAUACCGCAUAACGUCGCAAGACCAAAGAGGGGGACCUUCGGGCCUCUUGCCAUCGGAUGUGCCCAGAUGGGAUUAGCUAGUAGGUGGGGUAACGGCUCACCUAGGCGACGAUCCCUAGCUGGUCUGAGAGGAUGACCAGCCACACUGGAACUGAGACACGGUCCAGACUCCUACGGGAGGCAGCAGUGGGGAAUAUUGCACAAUGGGCGCAAGCCUGAUGCAGCCAUGCCGCGUGUAUGAAGAAGGCCUUCGGGUUGUAAAGUACUUUCAGCCGGGAGGAAGGGAGUAAAGUUAAUACCUUUGCUCAUUGACGUUACCCGCAGAAGAAGCACCGGCUAACUCCGUG